Molecule: transfer-messenger RNA, 328 nt
Filed under: Teichococcus rhizosphaerae
Lineage: Bacteria; Pseudomonadati; Pseudomonadota; Alphaproteobacteria; Acetobacterales; Roseomonadaceae
Description: Pseudoroseomonas rhizosphaerae Alphaproteobacteria transfer-messenger RNA
Rfam family: Alphaproteobacteria transfer-messenger RNA
About the family: Bacterial tmRNA, also known as 10Sa RNA or SsrA, is named for its dual tRNA and mRNA-like properties. Its role is to liberate the mRNA from a stalled ribosome.
Source: Rfam by way of RNAcentral
CCCCUCGAUUUCCGCCGCAGGCCGGACUAUAUCUGCCCCGUCCCCUCGGGGACUAUGGCGAUAAACGGCAUGUGGAAUAAGCGUUGCGGACCCGGGGGCAGUGCCCGGCGUCUCCACCAGCAUCGCCGCCAGGGAUCGUCUGGCGGGCUUCUGGGGACGAAACAGGCUCGACGCGCGUGGUAAAGCCAUGUCUUUUGCCCGGCAUUGUACCGCCGUUAUCGGGCUAUAUCACAAGUGCCAACGAUAACAGCCGCGAGGCUGUGGCGCUCGCUGCCUAACAAUAGGUAAGCGCGGUCCGGGGGGAACCGGGCAACAGAAUCCCCCCACU